This 827-nucleotide ribosomal RNA is filed under the name uncultured bacterium. RNAcentral's name for it is "bacterial SSU rRNA". It matches the Rfam family "Bacterial small subunit ribosomal RNA", at positions 61 to 886 of the family's 1533-position model. The record is from RNAcentral.
GUCGAGCGGUAACAGGUGUAGCAAUACAUGCUGACGAGCGGCAGACGGGUGAGGAACACGUACGCAACUUUCCUCAAACCGGGGCACAACCUUGAGAAAUCAGGGCUAAUUCCCCAUAACAUUGCGAGAGGGCAUCUGAUUGCAAUUAAAGAUUCGUCGGUUUGAGAUGGGCGUGCGUUCGAUUAGCUAGUUGGUAGGGUAACGGCUUACCAAGGCAACGAUCGAUAGCUGGUGUGAGAGCACGACCAGCCACACGGGCACUGAGAUACGGGCCCGACUCCUACGGGAGGCAGCAGUAAGGAAUAUUGGUCAAUGGACGAAAGUCUGAACCAGCCAUGCCGCGUGAGGGAUGAAGGUCCUCUGGAUUGUAAACCUCUUUUAUUUAUGAAGAAAUGUCCUGUUUCUACGGGAUUUGACGGUAAUAGAUGAAUAAGCACCGGCUAACUCCGUGCCAGCAGCCGCGGUAAUACAGAGGGUGCAAGCGUUAUCCGGAUUUACUGGGUUUAAAGGGUGCGUAGGUGGGUUGGUAAGUCAGUGGUGAAAUACUUUCGCUUAACGAAGGAACUGCCAUUGAUACUACCAGUCUUGAAUACAGUGGAGGUAGGCGGAAUGCGUCAUGUAGCGGUGAAAUGCUUAGAUAUGACGCAGAACACCAAUUGCGAAGGCAGCUUGCUACACUGUUAUUGACACUGAGGCACGAAAGCGUGGGGAUCAAACAGGAUUAGAUACCCUGGUAGUCCACGCCCUAAACGAUGAUUACUCGAUCUCAGCGAUACACUGUUGGGGUCUAUGUGAAAGCAUUAAGUAAUCCACCUGGGGAGUACGAU